AACGAACGCUGGCGGCGUGCCUAACACAUGCAAGUCGAGCGAGAAAGUUCCUUCGGGAGCGAGUAAAGCGGCGCACGGGUGAGUAACACGUAGGUAACCUGCCCCUAAGUCUGGAACAACUGGAGGAAACUCCAGCUAAUGCCGGAUAAGACCACGAUUUCUUCGGAGAUCGCGGCCAAAGAUGGCCUCUACUUGUAAGCUAUCGCUGAGGGAUGGGCCUGCGGGUCAUAGCUAGUUGGUGAGGUAAUGGCUCACCAAGGCAGUGAUGACUAGCUGGUCUGAGAGGAUGACCAGCCACACUGGGACUGAGACACGGCCCAGACUCCUACGGGAGGCAGCAGUGGGGAAUAUUGCGCAAUGGGCGAAAGCCUGACGCAGCGACGCCGCGUGGGUGAUGAAGGCCUCGGU
Molecule: ribosomal RNA, 408 nt
Filed under: uncultured bacterium
Lineage: Bacteria
Description: bacterial SSU rRNA
Rfam family: Bacterial small subunit ribosomal RNA
Source: RNAcentral